CAAAGCGUAGCUUAAUUUUAAAGCACCUCGCUUACACCGAGAACAUACCUGCUAACCCCAGGUCGCUUUGA
RNAcentral lists this transfer RNA (71 nucleotides) under Scinax boesemani (Boeseman's snouted treefrog). RNAcentral describes it as "tRNA-Val". It matches the Rfam family "tRNA". From Rfam's summary of the family: Transfer RNA (tRNA) molecules are approximately 80 nucleotides in length. Their secondary structure includes four short double-helical elements and three loops (D, anti-codon, and T loops). The record is from RNAcentral. Lineage: Eukaryota; Metazoa; Chordata; Amphibia; Anura; Hylidae.